CUCCUUACAACGGAAUAACCCGGCGAAAGUCGGACUAAUACCGUAUGAUUAAUCCUAUGCAGGCAUCUAACUAGGAUUAAAGGUUUAGCGGUAAGGGAUGGGGAUGCGUCUGAUUAGGCAGUUGGCGGGGUAACGGCCCACCAAACCGACGAUCAGUAGGGGUUCUGAGAGGAAGGUCCCCCACAUUGGAACUGAGACACGGUCCAAACUCCUACGGGAGGCAGCAGAG
This 229-nucleotide ribosomal RNA is filed under the name uncultured Prevotella sp. Its description in RNAcentral is "partial 16S ribosomal RNA". It matches the Rfam family "Bacterial small subunit ribosomal RNA", at positions 129 to 354 of the family's 1533-position model. Lineage: Bacteria; Pseudomonadati; Bacteroidota; Bacteroidia; Bacteroidales; Prevotellaceae. The record is from RNAcentral.